AACGCACAUUGCGCCUCCUGGUAUUCCGGGAGGCAUGCCUGUUCGAGCGUCAUUAAAAACCACUCAAGCUCUUUUGCUUGGUAUUGGGAGAUGAGUAUACUUUUCCUAGUUUACUCACUUUCGAAAUUCAAAGGCGUAGAGCCCCACAUACCACAGCGUAGUAAGUUUUCUUUCGCUUGGAGUGUGAGGUGAUAUUGCCACAAACCCCCAAUUAUCUUCUAGGUUGACCUCGGAUCAGGUAGGGAUACCCGCUGAACUUAA
RNAcentral lists this unclassified non-coding RNA (261 nucleotides) under uncultured Pyronemataceae. Its description in RNAcentral is "sequence contains ITS2". The stretch from base 1 to 52 matches the Rfam family "5.8S ribosomal RNA", at positions 103 to 154 of the family's 154-position model. The record is from RNAcentral. Lineage: Eukaryota; Fungi; Ascomycota; Pezizomycetes; Pezizales; Pyronemataceae.